CUACGUGCCAGCAGCCGCGGUAAUACGGAAGGUCCGGGCGUUAUCCGGAUUUAUUGGGUUUAAAGGGAGCGUAGGCCGGAGAUUAAGUGUGUUGUGAAAUGUAGACGCUCAACGUCUGAAUUGCAGCGCAUACUGGUUUCCUUGAGUACGCACAACGUUGGCGGAAUUCGUCGUGUAGCGGUGAAAUGCUUAGAUAUGACGAAGAACUCCGAUUGCGAAGGCAGCUGACGGGAGCGCAACUGACGCUUAAGCUCGAAGGUGCGGGUAUCAAACAGGAUUAGAUACCCUGGUAGUCCGCACAGUAAACGAUGGAUGCCCGCUGUUAGCGCCUGGCAUUAGCGGCUAAGCGAAAGCAUUAAGCAUCCCACCUGGGGAGUACGCCGGCAACGGUGAAACUCAAAGGAAUUGACGGGGGCCCGCACAAGCGGAGGAACAUGUGGUUUAAUUCGAUGAUACGCGAGGAACCUUACCCGGGCUUGAAUUGCAGAGGAAUUAUUUAGAGAUA
RNAcentral lists this ribosomal RNA (505 nucleotides) under uncultured bacterium. RNAcentral describes it as "bacterial SSU rRNA". It matches the Rfam family "Bacterial small subunit ribosomal RNA", at positions 501 to 1008 of the family's 1533-position model. The record is from RNAcentral.